ACUGAAACACGGCCCAAACUCCUACGGGAGGCAGCAGUGGGGAAUAUUGCACAAUGGGCGAAAGCCUGAUGCAGCAACGCCGCGUGAGGGACGACGGCCUUCGGGUUGUAAACCUCUUUUAGUAGGGAAGAAGCGAAAGUGACGGUACCUGCAGAAAAAGCACCGGCUAACUACGUGCCAGCAGCCGCGGUAAUACGUAGGGUGCAAGCGUUGUCCGGAAUUAUUGGGCGUAAAGAGCUCGUAGGCGGUUUGUCGCGUCUGCUGUGAAAACCCGAGGCUCAACCUCGGGCCUGCAGUGGGUACGGGCAAACUAAA
This 315-nucleotide ribosomal RNA is filed under the name Leifsonia sp. RNAcentral's name for it is "partial 16S ribosomal RNA". It matches the Rfam family "Bacterial small subunit ribosomal RNA", at positions 318 to 645 of the family's 1533-position model. The record is from RNAcentral. Lineage: Bacteria; Bacillati; Actinomycetota; Actinomycetes; Micrococcales; Microbacteriaceae.